AGCAGUCGCCGCGGUAACACGAAGGGGGCUAGCGUUGUUCGGAAUUACUGGGCGUAAAGCGCACGUAGGCGGAUAUUUAAGUCAGGGGCGAAAUCCCAGAGCUCAACUCUGGAACUGCCUUUGAUACUGGGUAUCUUGAGUAUGGAAGAGGUGAGUGGAAUUCCGAGUGUAGAGGUGAAAUUCGUAGAUAUUCGGAGGAACACCAGUGGCGAAGGCGGCUCACUGGUCCAUUACUGACGCUGAGGUGCGAAAGCGUGGGGAGCAAACAGGAUUAGAUACCCCAGUAGUCCCUGUCUCUUAUAC
RNAcentral lists this ribosomal RNA (303 nucleotides) under uncultured bacterium. RNAcentral's name for it is "partial 16S ribosomal RNA". It matches the Rfam family "Bacterial small subunit ribosomal RNA", at positions 507 to 807 of the family's 1533-position model. The record is from RNAcentral.